Molecule: ribosomal RNA, 301 nt
Filed under: uncultured bacterium
Lineage: Bacteria
Description: partial 16S ribosomal RNA
Rfam family: Bacterial small subunit ribosomal RNA
Source: RNAcentral
CAGUAGCCGCGGUAAUACGUAGGGUGCAAGCGUUAAUCGGAAUUACUGGGCGUAAAGCGUGCGCAGGCGGUUAUAUAAGACAGAUGUGAAAUCCCCGGGCUCAACCUGGGAACUGCAUUUGUGACUGUAUAGCUAGAGUACGGCAGAGGGGGAUGGAAUUCCGCGUGUAGCAGUGAAAUGCGUAGAUAUGCGGAGGAACACCGAUGGCGAAGGCAAUCCCCUGGGCCUGUACUGACGCUCAUGCACGAAAGCGUGGGGAGCAAACAGGAUUAGAUACCCCUGUAGUCCCUGUCUCUUAUAU